GAACAUGAUCAAAAUGUUGGGUGCAAUUUUGAAACAUAAGAGCCUUUGCAAGAGAGUGGAUUACUUGGUUUAUUUGUCUCCUAGUAAAACUCACCAAUGAGAUUGGGGUUAAUUUCAAUAGCUUUCUAAAUCUAUCAACUAUAUUGUGAGAUUAAGAGAAACCAUGUUGAAUCGAGUGUAGACUAUCAACGAGGACCUUGCAGUCUGAUUCUCCACAUGAAUUGCUUGUAUCUGCAUUGUCAGGUUAUAGCUUGGAGAAGUCCCCAAGCUUCAGCUUCUCUUGGAUCUGAAAGAGUAGUGAUCUGUUUUUCACGAAAACACCUUUGAAAUCUCUGAUACAUAUUCCUUCCCCGAAACCGUGCUGAUUCCUAAACAUCUUUG
This 381-nucleotide long non-coding RNA is filed under the name Glycine max (soybean). Its description in RNAcentral is "long non-coding RNA (GMAX_LNC001711)". Lineage: Eukaryota; Viridiplantae; Streptophyta; Magnoliopsida; Fabales; Fabaceae. The record is from RNAcentral.